AGAGACAAAACACCAUUUCUUUUAUUUUAACAAUGGUAGUGCAUCUAUUAUCUGAUAAAGCAUUCGUCAUGCAUGAACUACUAAUCAACAAUUGAAAAACUUUGAACUCUCAGAAGUUAUGCAGAUCAGAUUUGAUCUGUAGAGAAAAAUUGGCUGAGUACAUAUCUGGAUGCAUGACUGUUUGAGCAGAUGUUUCCUUUAAUCUUUGUUGUCUUACUAACCUUUCACUAUCACAUUUCAUUCACAGGAUAACUGGUGUCAUGCACAGUCCAUCAAGUAAUACCAGAUUUCUAGUUCAUACAGAUUGAGAAAUAUUUGAACUUCUACAAGAAUUUCUCCAAGGAUUGGCCCUGGCAUGAGACACUUCACAUCUGUCACAAGAGAUGACAAAUGAACCUCUCCCGGUCUAGAGAACUGAACUGUCAUACUGGAUGGGGAUCCCCGGCAGGUCCAAGAUGUCUCCAUCUUCUCCUAGAACUUGACCCCUUGCCUUGUAUGGUAAAUAAGCUAUAUGUAUCAGGUUAUAAUGCUUGAAACAUAAAGAUACUAACAUCCUGUUUUAUCCUCUGGAAGUUCUCCUUUGAUUCCAUUACUCAGUUAUAAAAGGGGAUCUUCUUCCUAAUUUUGUAAUGUUAUUUACAGGGAAUACGAUCCUUAUCUUGUAUCUAGAUUUUCCUUUGUUUAUGACCAACUUAAAUAUUUGCCAGGCUUAAUGCUUGCAACCAGUAUGAUUCAGAUUUGAGUUGCUUCUUACCGAAGUGUCAGUUUAAAGAUAAUCUCUAUUAUAAAUCUGACCUGAUGGAAAAAAGUCCUGUUCUGUCCUGUCCCCAAAGAUGAUAUCAGCUGUUGAAUAUUUGCAUGCAAGGUAUUGGUUUCUCUCUACUUUCGCCUGUCCUUAUUGUUAUUUUAUAGUAGCAGAUUCGUUUAUACAUAAUUGUUUAUUACCUGCUAUAAACAGGCAUGUUUAUACAAAUUAAAAAUAGUUAGGGUCAUGCAUAAAGUAAAAUAAACUUGACAGUCUGAACUAUUAAAGGCACUUGAAACUGAAUAAACUAAAACAGGCUUGGACAAAAUUAUGCAAGGGUGAAAGGUAAAAGAAAACAAAGAAGAUGAUUUUGAGGGAUUGUUUCUUGAGAUAAUUGAAUUUUCAAAUAACAAAUAUAUGAAAUAUAAAAGAAGGAGAAAAGAAGUUGAUAUAUCCAGACUGUAACCAGCUUGGAGAUGGGUCCUCCUUUUGAAAAGUUGUUAGUUAUUGAGAAGAGUAAUUGGUUGCAUUGCAAUGUGUCAGAUUUGUGAGCCUGUCGGGGUUAGCAUCACGUAUAUAUAUAUAUAUAUGUGUGUGUGUGUGUGUGGAGUAGAAACGAGUCAUAGUUACAGUGGGAUUGACUGAAGUUUGGAAGGAAGCUGAAGUCGCAGCAGCUUGCUUGCUGGAGUAGAGAUCCAAUGGCAUAGUUGGUGCAACAAUACAACCCUGAAAUUAAUGCCUACUGGGUUGAAGGUUGAGGUUGAGGUUAGUGAGAUUGGUGGAUGGUUGUGGUUGCCUACUGGGGCCGGUAAGCAAAGAGAGAUAUGUAGGCAUACCGCAUAUAUGGAGAGUAUGAACCAACCUCAACUCAACUGGGUCCUGUCCUGUUUGUUUAGUAUCUUCAAAGUAUUCUUCUCACCUUCAAGAACAAGACCCGUUUUUUCUUAAUUUCUUAAUAUAUAUAUUCAAUUCCUGACCAAAAUGUUUUAUCAACUUUUUAAACUCCCAUGAUUUAGCGGGUGAUACAAAAAAAGUAUGUACUCCAUCAACAAGUAAAGGGGAUGAUGAAGAGAUAUGUAAUGAUGCGUAAAGAAUAAUGUAAAGUUGACUAUAAUCACAUAUUUGUACUUUGUGAGUAAUAGCAUCUUCAUAAUUUAGCCUUAUUCCCCC
This 1915-nucleotide long non-coding RNA is filed under the name Panax ginseng (ginseng). Its description in RNAcentral is "long non-coding RNA (PGIN_LNC016403)". Lineage: Eukaryota; Viridiplantae; Streptophyta; Magnoliopsida; Apiales; Araliaceae. The record is from RNAcentral.